Molecule: long non-coding RNA, 3335 nt
Organism: Cyanistes caeruleus (blue tit)
Lineage: Eukaryota; Metazoa; Chordata; Aves; Passeriformes; Paridae
Source: RefSeq, a predicted model, not a curated record
UCCAAAACAAACAUUUCCAGCUUUCUUGCAGCCCCACUGAAAGGUGCUCUAAGGUUUCCCCAAUGACUUCUCAUCUCUGCUCUGCACAAUCCCUGCCCUUAGCCUGUUUUUACAGGACAGGUACUUCAGCCCUCUUCUUUCUGUCCCGCACCAGACAUUUUUAAGGUGACUAUAAAAACCUGUAGAAUUAAAAAGAAAGCAGCAUCAUUAAAGAAUCCCCCAGACAGAUGCAUUCAAGUGAUAAAGUGUCUGCUAAAACUAUUUAACAACAUAAUGCUGGCUUUUUUAGUGUCGAUCUGUAAAGACUGGAGCCAUGAGAUGUUUAAAGACUGGGGUCAUGACUAGAAGUGGGGGAUUAUAGCACCUCCAAAGAAGCAAAUGAUCUCUGAUCUUCUCUCCUCCACCCUUCUGUAGGCAGAAUAUGCACAGUGAACAUGCACAGCACAUAUCAGAGAGGAGAAUGCAUUCCUGAGCUCUGAAAAACAUGUUCCGUAACACUGGACAGCCAGUGCACAACUCCCUUUGUGAGGCAGACGAGUUUACAGGAGCUGCUUGACAUUUUGCUGGAGGUGAGAUGAGGAGCUCCGAUUUGACCGUCUGGUAGUGUCUCUGUUACUUUUUUGCCUUGAUGCUCUCAUACCUUCAGGCAAAUUGGCUGAAUUUGGUGCUUCAUUUGCUUCACAAUAAUAAUGGAAUGUGCUACAGCACAACUUUGUGUGCCAUGGGGACCUGCACCAGGCAGACAAACCUGCUGACUGAGACACAGCUGGACACAGAUCUAUUCCUGAAGAAAAGGCUGAAGAAGAUAAAAUCAUCAUGGCAGCAUAGAGGUAUCUGAGGCUCCAGGGAACACAAACAAGUUGCUGGGUAAAGCCAGUUACCAUCAACAGCUGAGCAGGUAAUUCACAAACCAUAGCUUUGAUUAAGUGCACCCUUUUCCCAGCCACAGAGAAAUUGUUAAAGCUCUUGGAAGUUCCCUAAUUGCUUCUAGUAAUUACAAAUGGAAUCCUUUAUGCAGAAGAGCAGAGAAAGAACUGUGCAUCUAUGAAAUGCCCUGAAGCCCUGGAAACAGAGGAUGUCACAGCAAUCAAGGUAUUUCAGAGACUUUGAGGACCUUGUAACUGCAUGGAUUCCACCUACUCUUGAAGUCUUGCCUUCUGCAGUCAAGAGAAAAAGGCAGAACUAUGCUUAUCUCCUGUCUCUAAAGGGAGGAGCCUGGCACCAGGAAGCUUCAUGCCGAGUACAUGAGCAACAAGGCUGGGAGAUGUGAAUUGUGUCAUUGCUUUCUUCAUAAAGAUUAAAUGUCACCUGUGCUUGUCCCCUCCAUGCAUGGAGCAUGUAGGGACAUUGAGACACACGAAGCUCAUAGCUACUGCAGAGCCAAUGUCUCUGUGUAAGUGAUAUCCACAUUCCUGAUCACCCAGCCAUUCCUACACGUUGGCUUCCAGUCUGGUUGUACUCCAGAGCCAGCAAACUUCAGGCACUGCAAGAACCAGCUCACACAUGGGUAUGGAUUUAGCCUGAGAUAGUCAGGGAACCCACAUCACCAUAGUAACUGCAUGCUGUUGCAUUAAUUCCAGCAAAUAAAUGGAGCUUGUAAGUCAAGGGGUAUUUAUGCAGUGCAAGAGCACACAAAGAAACUGCAACAGUCCCAAAUGAGGCAGCCAGGCUUUCCUGGCUUCUUUAUCCUGGUUUUCAGGAGAACUGAUUGUCUGGUUGGAAGAUUCCAUCCAUAUGAUUAGCCUGCUUUCUGUUUUUGACAUGGAUUUUCAGACAUGACUUGGGUAUAUCUACACAGCACAACACUGAGCCAUAUAGGAUCAACCAGAAGUAUGAAAAAGCUUCUACAGUAACAUGUACAUUUUCAAAAACUGAGGGUGCUAUAGAAAAAUUUAUCAAAUUUGAGUAUACCCCUUCUGACUGGUGAGGUUUGUUUAGGAGCUUUUACAUGUUGAUGAAGAUGAGAUGAAUUGUUCUGCAUGAGGAAAUCAAGAACUCACCCAAGGUGGGCUGGGAUCCUCAUUUUGUUGCCAAAAGCCAAUCCACUAUUCUUUAAAAAUGAAACAAAAAAUACCAGUGGCAAACACAUGCAAAGUUUGGUUCAUCCAAGCUGACUUAAAGACAGCCUAGCUGGGAGGGGAGUGGUCAAGCACUUGGCUUGUUAGCCACUGACUAAACUCAUCUGUGACUGCAGGGUGUUGACUUCCCCUUUAGUCAUAUGCUUGCAGAAGUGUUAUAAAAAAGGAGAAUCUGACUAAUCCAGGAACUGUAGAGUCAGAAGGAUGAAAAGUAUUUUUAUUGGGUCUGUCUGAGAUUGAGUUCAUUUUCCCAUGGCAGCCCUCACAGUGCUCUGGGCAUUGGGAGCUGGAAAGGUGUUGGUAUCACAGCAGUGUUUGACUCUUGCAGAGCACAGCUGGCACAACAUCAGCACUGUCUCCCCAGAAUUUCCCCAUCAAGGGGCUAGGAGACCCCAGGAAGGGACACAGGCAGGCCAGCUGACCCAAGUUAACCAAAGGGAUAUUCCAUACCAUACAACAUCAGCUCUGAUAUAAAAGCUAAGAAAAGGAGAACAAACAGGGUGCUUUUGUUAUUUGCAAUAUUUGCUGUCUGGAAAAACUGCUACAUGUGCUGAAGUCUGGCUUCCUGGGAAGUGGCUGAACACCACUUGCUGGUGGGAAGUAGAGAAUACAAUUUUUUUUUCUCUUUAUUUCAGUGCAUGUAAACUUUUGCUUUUGCUUAGUAAAUUGCCUUAUCUCAACCUACAAGUUAAUUUUCCAUCUUAUUUUCCCUCCACAGAGAAGGGGGAGUGAUAGAGUGGCUUGAUGGGCACCUGCUGUUCAGCCAAGUUAAACUCACCACAUCAUUAAAAAGAAUGAAGAUGAACAGAAGUAUUGGCACCAAUAACAAAUAUUCUGAAGAUGGCAGAGGUUCCAGAGAUGGGGCAUCCAUGGCUUCUCUGGGCAACUUGUUCCAUUGCCUUACCACCUUCACAGGGAAGAAUUUCUUCAUAAUGUCUAAUUUAACCUACUCUCCUUUAGUUUAAAGACAUUGCUACUUGUCCUAUCUCCAUCUGCCAUGGAAAAAAAUCUCUCUCCAUCUCUCUUGUAGGCCUCCUUUAGUUACUGGUAGGUGUUUUAAGGUCCUUUGAGAACCUUCUCAUAUCCAGGCUGAACAGCCCCAGCUAUAUCAGCCUUUAUCUGUGGAGAGGGCCCACGGUGGGAGGGGGUCAGACAAAAGAAUUGACAGAAAGAGGAAACCAGCAGAAUUCCUGUGUGUCCAUGAGAAGAAGAGAAAGAAGAUAAAGGUAGAAGAAAACAAAGAACAUCUGUGCUGUG